AAGGAGUCUAACAUGUGUGCGAGUGCUCGGGGUUAAACCCCCCAGCCCGGAAUGAAAGGAAAGGUGAACUUGUUCACUGAGGUAGGAACCUUACGCUGCACUAUCGUCCUACCAUGAUCCUCCGUGUGAAAGAUUUGAGUGUGAGCAUACAUGUUGGGACCCGAAAGAUGGUGAACUAUGCCUGAAUAGGGCGAGGCCAGAGGAAACUCUGGUGGAGGCUCGCAGCGGUUCUAACGUGCAAAUUGAUCGUCGAAUUUGGGUAUAGGGGCGAAAGACUAAUCGAACCAUCUAGUAGCUGGUUCCCGC
RNAcentral lists this small RNA (306 nucleotides) under uncultured fungus. RNAcentral describes it as "eukaryotic LSU rRNA". It matches the Rfam family "Eukaryotic large subunit ribosomal RNA", at positions 668 to 961 of the family's 3401-position model. The record is from RNAcentral. Lineage: Eukaryota; Fungi.